GUAGGUGAACCUGCGGAAGGAUCAUUAACACUUUUAUCCUUUUAUUAAAAAUCCCAAUGUGAACUUGUAAUCUACCCCUUCUUAAUCUUUUCUUCAUUGAUUGGAUUGUGAAGGGCCCUUAGGUUUUUUCUUCUCUUCUCUUUUUCCCUUUUGGGUUAAAGAGUUUUGAUGAAGGAGAAACGGUAUUCCUUUUCACCAUUUUAACUCCUAUAAUCAACCUUUAAUGUUGAACUAAAUCCAAUCGCUUUCUUUCUUUUUCCCUUAAUAAGGAGAGAGGAGAUAGUGAGUUAUCUUACGUAAUGUAUGAACAACUCUUAGCAAUGGAUAUCUUGGUUCUC
This 338-nucleotide unclassified non-coding RNA is filed under the name rhizosphere metagenome. RNAcentral describes it as "partial ribosomal RNA internal transcribed spacer region". The record is from RNAcentral.